Long non-coding RNA from Carassius auratus (goldfish), 2276 nucleotides. RefSeq lists it as uncharacterized. The transcript has 4 exons. NCBI's taxonomy places the organism in Eukaryota, Metazoa, Chordata, Actinopteri, Cypriniformes, Cyprinidae. The record is from RefSeq and is a predicted model, not a curated record.
UACUUUUUCAGGAUUCUUCGAGAAAUAAAAAGUUAAAAACAACAGCACUUAUUUAAAAUAGAAAUCUUAUAUAACAGAAAUAAUAACGACAGUGCACUUGGUGUCAAUCUAAUCUUCAGGUGAGAGUUGAAUGGCGCUUCGUGUCUCGCGAGAUUUUAAUUAGGUUUCCUCUGUUUCAAGGCAUGCGAUUGGCUGUUAGGUGCUGAUGUCGCUUUACUGUGGCGCUGCAAGAACAACACCUAUUCAACUGAGAAAAUUGAUCAGCGUCGUGAUACGAGCGAAGUUUGAAUGGUUUGGUUUGAUAAACUUGAAACGAAAUCCCGCAACCUUGAGUUUGUUAAACUGUUAUCACUGAACAGGCCUUUUUGUGAUUCACGAAAUGCGUGUUAAUACCAGCUGGAAACGAGGCCUGCGCUUGUGCUGUUGCCAGGGUCGUCGUCUCGAAGUUAAUACAGGCUUGAGUCCUGAUUCACAGCGGAUGUCUGAUGGCAAGUUGGAUAUAUUGCUUCUCCACACAAAUCCACUUUUCCUUAAUUCUGCUGCACCAGCUGUGGAAACCUGACCUGGUGAGGACCCUCCUUUCCAUCCUCAACCAUUGAACCUCUUAUCACACUCUGACGAGGACAAACCAACCUGUGAUCUAGACUCCUAGAUCCACCCCUGGUCCACGAUCAUUCCCACACCUGUCUCUCAUCACAGUCCAUCACCAGUGUCUGCACCCUGCCUACUGCUAAUAUUAUGGAUUUCUGUUCUGGAUAUGAGAUAUGCCAUUCACAACAAUCUCUACAUAAUAUCAAGCUCAAAUAAUUUAGUCCUGCCUAACAGUUUUCCUGAUUUGUUACUGUUCACAAUGUAGCACAGUCUCGCCUACCUUUGUGCAUUCAGUUGUUAAAAUAUGUCCUUAUUAUUUGAUUGUAUCUCAAGUUUAUUAUUUAAAAGCAAAUUCACAAUCUUUCUCGAGAAGAGAUAAUAGGUGUGUUUGACUUGAAGCAGUGCUGUGCAGACCGAUCGAAGUAUGACAUCAAAGUACCACGAGAGCAAUAAGACUGUAAGACAGCUUCUUAUGCUUUUGAAUUACUCUCACGAUACUUUGUCAUACUUUAAGCAGUGCUGUGCAGACCAAUUGAAGUUGAACACGUCUAAAGUGUAAACUCUCACUUGUCAGCUAUGGGACUUCCUGCAGUAAUAUGAUGAGCAGGUGUUCAGUGUCAUCAUCUUACUUUAUUGAAAUGCUAUAUUGAACUGGAUUCAGGUUUAAAACUGUUUAACUGGGAAAGAAGAAAUUAUGUGUCAUUAAUGUUGUGAGGCUGCAUAACAUCUGGUCAGAUGAAUGUUUGUGUAGUCUGUUUCCUCCUGAGGUUUCUAUCUUGUAUAGUUAAAUAUCUAAAAAUGAGUGUCUUUGUAACCAUUCUCAAUAGAUACUGAAAGCUUUUUUUUUUUUUUGGCGCUUUUAAACAAAAUAUUAAAUGUAAUCUGUGAGGUAAGCCAUGGCUGGGUGUACAUUACAUAAUUUUAAUAUAUGCUGUGGAGGUAAAGAACUACAUGAACAGAAGCCAUGAAUCACCCCUUAAUUCUAAUGGUCAGGGGUGAUCAAUUCUGUUCAAAUUCAACACUGAUCCAACAGCCCUGUCUGUAAUUAACCAGUGCUCCUGAAGUUCAUAAAUAGCUGGUUCAGUAGUGUUUGAGAAGGAUUGGAGCUGAACUUUCCAGGAAGUUGUAUAGUUAUUUAGACAGGUAAGUGUUGAGUGUGAUUAAUUAUUGAGUAGUCUAUUGCUCCUAAUUAUUCUGUAGUUUAAUUAUAGGCAGGAUGUACAGUAAUUGCAUUAAAUACUGUAUAGACUAUAGAACAUUUGUCUAAAACUAGUGAAUUUAACAAAUAUCUCAAGUUUAACAUUUAGAUGUGUGUGCUUGACAGUCCAAGAAUAAUUUAUGCAUUAUGAUUUGAAACAUUAAGCACUAUUUUUUUAGAGUAAAUAGUACAGUAAUGUCAUUUACUUUGGAGUUACUUGCUCAGCAUCAAAUAUAUAUGUAUGUGUGUAUAUAUACAGUGUAUAUAUAUAGGUUUACAUUUAAUCGUUAAUUCCAAUCACCAAGCUUGUAAUGUUGAACACUUAAAACCUACAAGUAGUCAAGGAUCUUAUAUGCUCUCUACAAAAUAACUUGCAUACACGUUUAUCUCUUAUUACAGAAGAACCAAACUAACAGGGAUAGUUGGACAAACAUUUAAAAUUGCAUGAUGGAUUACGUGGUUAAAACCCUUUUUGUGUUUUUUGUCA